This 1592-nucleotide long non-coding RNA is filed under the name Homo sapiens (human). RNAcentral's name for it is "HSALNT0231193". The record is from RNAcentral. Lineage: Eukaryota; Metazoa; Chordata; Mammalia; Primates; Hominidae.
AAAGAAGCCAAAGUGUUUGAUAAUUCAUCAGCAGCAGCAAACCUGAGUGUUUCUGUGCAAUGCAAAUUGCUUUGGCUUCCACACAGCUCCUGUCGCUUCAAGUGCGGAUGGUUAAUGGGACCUGGACUGGAAAAGGAUUGUUUGUGUGGGAAUCAUUCAUGGCAAAGGCAGUGACACCUCCUUCAAAAACCUGUGUCUUUCUGGCAGAGUGUUGCUGGAGAUGGCCACUGGAGAGGCUGAGUCAAAUCAAUCUCCUCACCUGAGGACUUCCUAAGACCAGCGCACUGAAGGACCAGCAGCAACAACAACAAUAAUGCUAAUGCUCCCUUAUGGACAAGACUGCAAUUCUCUGCCUGCUGAAGCUCAGCUAUGACCACGUGACUUGCCUUGGCCAAUGAAAGAGGAAGAGUAUGUAACACUGCUGAAUGGAAGCAAGUGGCCCCUGCCCCUGCUGCAGAGAUUCUAGACAUGUGUGCCAUGCUGGAGCAAGGAGACAGGGAGUCCUGGAGAAAGGAGACAUGGAACAGAGCUCCCAGCCCAGUCAAUAUGUAACAUGAGUGAGAAAUAAAUAACACUUUGUUGCUAGAAGUUUUUUUUAAACUGAAGUAUAACUCAGCUUCCCCUGACCCAUGCAGAAAGUCAUCUAUCAAUGUUAAGUAUCACUAAAUUUAUUUUACAGAAGAAGAAUCUAAAGCUCAGAGUAGUGGUCUCAAUAUCACUCAGCAAUUAUGUGAUGGAAGCAUACUGAAGGCCCACGUUUUAAAGUGGACACCAAGGGGAAUAUAGCAUAAAUAGAAAUUUUCUAACUGCAGGGAAUUCUUGCUAUACAACUGCAAAGAAUAGGCCCCACUACUUCCUAGCUGUGCCUCAAUUUCCUGAUCAGUUAAAUGGGACUAAUAAAAGAGCAGCUAGUGGCUGGGUGCGGUGGCUCACGCCUGUAAUCCCAGCACUUUGGGAGGCCGAGGCGGGCAGAUCAAGAGGUCAGGAGAUCGAGACCACAGUGAAACCCCGUCUCUACUAAAAAUACAAAAAAUUAGCUGUGCGCAGUGGCGGGUGCCUGUAGUCCCAGCUACUCGGGAGGCUGAGGUAGGAGAAUGUCGUUAACUCGGAAGGCGGAGCUUGCAGUGAGCCGAGAUCGCGCCACUGCACUCCAGUCUGGGCGACAGAGGGAGACUCUGUCUCAAAAAAAACGACAACAACAAAAAAAAAAAAAAAAAAAAAAAAGAAAGAGUAGCUAGUGCAAGAGAUGGAGAAGGGAUUAAAUGAAAAUACAUGUAAAUUGCUCAUAAGAUUAUCUAGAAUAAACCGAACAUUCAAAAAUGUUAGUUACUAUUAUUAUUAACAAUUGCUAUUAUAAUCCUAAUAUCACCUGUUUCUCAUCAGUCGGUGGAUACAAGCAAUUACAUUUACAUAAAUAUGUAAAGCAAUAAAGCCAAACCAGAGACUCCUAAUCGCCUUCCUGCUUAGUGCUUCUUCAUCCUGUUAAUUUAAUUCCGGUCUCUACCUCCACGGGGCCAAUUCCUCCUACUGUGGAACAUCUCCUUUACCAAGAAGCCUUUCCUGCUCACUUUCACCCAAGACUGUUAUGUGCU